UUUUCUGGUGGCGACCGGCGCACGGGUGCGGAACGCGUAUGGAACCUGCCCCUGUCAGGGGAAUAGCCCAGGGAAACUUGGAUUAAUGCCCCAUGGUACCGCGAUAUCGCAUGAUAUUGCGGUUAAAGAUUUAUCGGACAGGGAUGGCCAUGCGUACCAUUAGUUAGUUGGUGGGGUAACGGCCCACCAAGGCAGCGAUGGUUAGGGGCCCUGAGAGGGGGAUCCCCCACACUGGUACUGAGACACGGACCAGACUCCUACGGGAGGCAGCAGUGAGGAAUAUUGGACAAUGGGCGGGAGCCUGAUCCAGCCAUGCCGCGUGCAGGAUGACGGCCCUAUGGGUUGUAAACUGCUUUUAUACGGGAAGAAAUGCGCCCACGUGUGGGCGUCUGACGGUACCGUAAGAAUAAGGACCGGCUAACUCCGUGCCAGCAGCCGCGGUAAUACGGAGGGUCCGAGCGUUAUCCGGAAUCAUUGGGUUUAAAGGGUCCGUAGGCGGGCCUGUAAGUCAGGGGUGAAAGUUUGUGGCUCAACCAUAAAAUUGCCUUUGAUACUGCAGGUCUUGAGUCAUGGUGGGGUCGCCGGAACAUGUGGUGUAG
This 599-nucleotide ribosomal RNA is filed under the name Flagellimonas ruestringensis. Its description in RNAcentral is "bacterial SSU rRNA". It matches the Rfam family "Bacterial small subunit ribosomal RNA", at positions 81 to 678 of the family's 1533-position model. The record is from RNAcentral. Lineage: Bacteria; Pseudomonadati; Bacteroidota; Flavobacteriia; Flavobacteriales; Flavobacteriaceae.